GGUCAAGUUAAAAAGAGCACUAGGUGGAUGCCUAGGCACCAAGAGGCGAAGAAGGACGCGAUAAGCUGCGAAAAGCGACGGAGAAGAGCAAAUAUCUAAAGACCCGUCGAUAUCCGAAUGGGGAAACCCGG
RNAcentral lists this ribosomal RNA (131 nucleotides) under uncultured bacterium. Its description in RNAcentral is "partial 23S ribosomal RNA". It matches the Rfam family "Bacterial large subunit ribosomal RNA", at positions 1 to 131 of the family's 2925-position model. The record is from RNAcentral.